UACGGGGGGGGCAAGCGUUGUUCGGAAUUACUGGGCGUAAAGGGCUCGUAGGCGGCCAACUAAGUCAGGGGUGAAAUCCUGGAGCUCAACUCCAGAACUGCCUUUGAUACUGGGGAUCUCGAGUCCGGAAGAGGUGAGUGGAACUCCGAGUGUAGAGGUGAAAUUCGUAGAUAUUCGGAAGAACACCAGUGGCGAAGGCGGCUCACUGGUCCGGUACUGACGCUGAGGUGCGAAAGCGUGGGGAGCAAACAGG
RNAcentral lists this ribosomal RNA (253 nucleotides) under uncultured bacterium. Its description in RNAcentral is "partial 16S ribosomal RNA". It matches the Rfam family "Bacterial small subunit ribosomal RNA", at positions 524 to 776 of the family's 1533-position model. The record is from RNAcentral.